Molecule: ribosomal RNA, 233 nt
Filed under: uncultured bacterium
Lineage: Bacteria
Description: partial 16S ribosomal RNA
Rfam family: Bacterial small subunit ribosomal RNA
Source: RNAcentral
CGGGUGAGUAACGCGUGAGGAACCUGCCUCAAAGAGGGGGACAACAGUUGGAAACGACUGCUAAUACCGCAUAAGCCCACAGGUCGGCAUCGACCAGAGGGAAAAGGAGCAAUCCGCUUUGAGAUGGCCUCGCGUCCGAUUAGCUAGUUGGUGAGGCAAUGGCCCACCAAGGCAACGAUCGGUAGCCGGACUGAGAGGUUGAACGGCCACAUUGGGACUGAGACACGGCCCAG